RNAcentral lists this ribosomal RNA (641 nucleotides) under uncultured bacterium. RNAcentral describes it as "bacterial SSU rRNA". The stretch from base 1 to 539 matches the Rfam family "Bacterial small subunit ribosomal RNA", at positions 338 to 873 of the family's 1533-position model. The record is from RNAcentral.
CCUACGGGAGGCAGCAGUAAGGAAUAUUGGUCAAUGGACGAAAGUCUGAACCAGCCAUGCCGCGUGAAGGAUUAAGGCCCUCUGGGUUGUAAACUUCUUUUAUCUGGGACGAAAAAAGGGUAUUCUUACUCACUUGACGGUACCAGAGGAAUAAGCACCGGCUAACUCCGUGCCAGCAGCCGCGGUAAUACGGAGGGUGCAAGCGUUAUCCGGAUUUACUGGGUUUAAAGGGUGCGUAGGUGGGCUUGUAAGUCAGUGGUGAAAUCUCCGGGCUUAACCCGGAAACUGCCAUUGAUACUAUAGGUCUUGAAUUAUCUGGAGGUAAGCGGAAUGUGUCAUGCAGCGGUGAAAUGCUUAGAUAUGACAUAGAACACCAAUUGCGAAGGCAGCAUACUACGGAUAUAUUGACACUGAGGCACGAAAGCGUGGGGAUCAAACAGGAUUAGAUACCCUGGUAGUCCACGCCCUAAACGAUGGAUACUCGACAUACAGCGAUACACUGUUGGUUGUCUGAGACGAAGACGAUAAGUAGUACCACCGUACGGAAGGUACGAGUCGUCGAAGAGUUAGUAAACGUUAACGUUAAAGGUAAGUUAGGUUACGGCGUGAGACGCGACGACGACGACGACGGAGGGAGGAGG